RNAcentral lists this unclassified non-coding RNA (1367 nucleotides) under Hevea brasiliensis (rubber tree). Lineage: Eukaryota; Viridiplantae; Streptophyta; Magnoliopsida; Malpighiales; Euphorbiaceae. The record is from RNAcentral.
ACAUUGGAUAUAUGCUCAUAAACUUCUUGCCAAAUAAGCAUAAUCCUAUCCCGGUUAUUCAAUGUAAUUGCAAUCAACAACUCCAAGCAGAACACUGAGGCGCCUUCAUCAUCCACAGGGCCAGUUCCCUUACUAAGACGGCUGGCAGCCAGGAUAAGUGACUUCACAAGCUGCAAUAAAGACUCAGCUUGGAGGAAUUUACUCUCUGAAAAUAUGCUAUCAAUAUGGCAACUUUGUAUGGUUUCACGAGUAAGCUGAUGAGCUGCAAGCUGUUCCUCAGUUGGCAGUGACCUUGGCUCUUCCAUAUCAAAGGAUAAGAGCUGACUGAACCGGCCCAUUAAACCAGACGACUUCCGAGGAGUGGUCCCAGAAGGUGUGCGUGAUAUUAAGGAAGAGCUUGAAGCAGGCUUUGCUCUCUCCAGAUCAGAAGAGAGUUCCAUAUCAUCAACUGUAUCAUUAAUGAGCCGAGCAGGUAGAAGGCCAAGUUUGUGGAAGCUCAAAACACAAUCCAGUAUGUUAUUCCAGCCAGAGCGAAUAUAAUCACCAUAACUGUUUACAAUGGUGAAAACAGUUGUGGUUGCCAUCCUUGCUUUAGUGUCCUCUCCAAAGGCUAAAAUAGCAUCAUCAACAGAGAAUGGUGUCAAGUGGGCUGUGAAUUUGCAGAGAGACACAAUCAAAUCAUCCAAAAUAUCAUCAAAAUGAUAAGAGGAAGAAACUUUGGCAAUCGCCAAGAAUCCAUCAACACAUGUUUUUAAAACCUCUUCAUGUUCUGUCUGAUCAAAAACCACCGACAUAGCAGCAAUUGUGGGACCUGACAGGAUAGCAAACAUGUCAUGGUCAAGGAGCACUCUAGAAUCACAGAUGAUGAAAGGAUCAGUAAUUUUGGAUUUGUGCAGUACAUUAAUCCAGCAGCCAGAUGUCAUCAAUGGAAAACCAGCACCUUGCUCAGGAAUCAUCUGGAUUUCAUUCUCGCAAAUUGAGCGGUAAAGUUCUGACAGGUAUUCUCGAGGAAAAUCAUUCCCUCCAUUAGUACGCCGGUUGUUGCGGAUGAAAUCUUCUUCAGUCAUCUUUUUCUUAACUUGUACAUUGUGUUGAUCUGUAUUUAGCAGUAUAAGUGAAUAUGAUAACAAGAGAGCAGCAUCUUUGUUAGCCAAUAUCUGGGGUGACUCUUCAUAAUAUCUCUCAGCAAACGCUUCAAGAACCCUCUGUAUUUUCUGUGAUUCUCCAGGCAACCUGAAAGUUCCCAAGAAAAGUCGCAAUGCAGUAUCCAGAUUCAUGCCUCGAAAAUCAAAAGUUCCAGCAAAUUCUUGAAGCACCUGAACACAAAAUUCAUCAUGAUUUCCCAGAAAGUCUCCAAUGAGAUUCUU